AUGUCGAUGUUUUGGAAACCGGGGACCGAGAAACCUCAACUCCUAGACGACGAAGAAGGCGGUGUUCUUUUUCUCUCAUCCUCUCAGUCCUCUUCAUCUUCCUCAAGGUAUGGCUAUGCGAGCAUGGGGAAGCAGAGGCUGCCUGUGCACAAGUACAGAACGGAAAUUCUUUAUUUAGUGGAAACUCAUGCCACUACCAUCAUUGUUGGCGAGACUGGUAGCGGCAAAACAACUCAGAUUCCUCAGUAUCUUAAGGAAGCAGGUUGGGCUGAUGGAGGGCGCGCUAUUGCUUGUACACAACCAAGAAGACUGGCUGUCCAGGCAGUUGCUUCAAGGGUGGCGGAAGAGAUGGGAGUCAAACUUGGGGAUGAAGUUGGUUACACCAUUCGAUUUGAAGAUAUCACAAAUACAAGUGUAACUAUGAUAAAGUUUCUUACAGACGGGGUUCUACUUAGGGAAAUGAUGGAUGAUCCCCUUUUGACCAAGUAUAGUGUCAUAAUGGUAGAUGAAGCCCAUGAGAGGUCCAUUUCAACUGACAUUUUACUGGGUCUCCUGAAAAAGAUCCAACGGCGUAGACCUGAUCUGCGUCUGAUUAUCUCAUCUGCUACAAUUGAUGCAAAAUCGAUAUCUGCUUUCUUCCAGCCCAGCAAAAGGCAUCGUGGACUAGAAGGUCAGGGACUUAGUCCUAGGAAGGAGCCUGCAAUCCUAUCAGUUGAGGGUAGAGGGUUUGAUGUAAGAAUUCAUUAUGUUGAAGAGCCCAUUGCAGACUAUGUUAGGGCUUCUGUUUCAACAGUUAUGUUGAUUCAUGAGCAGGAACCCCCUGGUGAUAUUUUGGUAUUUCUUACGGGUCAAGAUGAUAUUGAUGCUGCUGCUCAAUUGAUUACGGAGGAAGCUCGAACUGUUGUAAAGAACUCUUCUGGGUUAAUUGUUUUGCCUUUGUACUCUGGAAUUUCACGUGCAGAACAGGAGCUGGUGUUUUCCCCCACUCCUAGAGGUAAGAGGAAAGUUGUGAUAUCAACCAAUAUAGCAGAAACAUCGGUAACUUUGGAGGGAGUUGUUUAUGUUGUUGACAGUGGAUUCUCAAAACAAAGAUUUUACAACCCGAUCCCUGAUAUUGAAAAUCUGGUGGUGGCACCAAUAUCCAAGGCAUCUGCCAGACAAAGGGCUGGUAGGGCUGGAAGAGUUCGACCUGGGAAGUGUUAUAGGCUAUAUACGGAAGAAUAUUUUGUUAACGAAAUGUCUGCUGAGGGAAUUCCAGAAAUACAGAGAUCAAUCCUUGUUUCUUGUGUGAUUCAGUUAAAAGCUCUUGGCAUAGAUAAUAUAUUGGGCUUUGAUUGGCCUGCAUCUCCAUCUCCUGACGCAAUGAUCCGAGCACUUGAAGUUCUUUAUUCACUCGGAGUCCUUGAUAGUGAUGCUAAGCUCACUUCACCAGUUGGUUUUCAAGUUGCAGAGAUUCCGUUGGAUCCGAUGGUCUCAAAAAUCAUCUUAUCUUCAAACCAACUUGGAUGUUCGGAGGAGAUAAUUACCAUUGCGGCUGUUCUCUCUGUACAAUCAAUUUGGUUUUCCAGUCGAGGAGCUCAGAAGGAGCUGGAUGAAGCCAAACUGAGAUUUGCUGCAGCUGAGGGUGACCAUGUUACUUUCCUAAAUGUUUACAAAGGGUUUCUUCAGUCUGGUAAAUCUUCACAGUGGUGUCAUAAGAACUUUAUAAACUACCAGGCAAUGAAGAAAGUUAUGGAAAUUAGAGAACAACUAAGAAAGACUGCAAAAAAAUUAGGCAUGGUCUUAAAAUCUUGUGACAAUGACAUGGAGGUGGUCAGAAAGGCUAUAACUACUGGUUUUUUUGCAAAUGCCUGUCGCUUAGAGGCUUAUAGUCACAAUGGGAUGUACAAGACUCUCAGGGGCUCUCAAGAAGUUUUUAUUCAUCCCUCAUCUGUAUUGUUCAGGGUUAACCCCAAGUGGGUUUUAUAUUAUUCUCUCGUCUCAACUGACCGACGAUACAUGCGCAAUGUUAUCACCAUUGACCCGUCUUGGCUAACGGAGAUUGCCCCACAUUUUUACCAUCAUCAAGGGCCCAAUCCUGCUACCCACUAACUGCCUGGUGAAUUGCUUAACUAUAUAGAUAGAGGAGCCAAAAUUUGGAUUCAAAAUCCAGCCAAACUCCAGAAGACACUGGUGAUGGGAGCAGCACUUGGUUCCAUCUCCUUAUCUGUGGUCAACGAUUCAUGUCACAAGUAUAUAUGGUCACGCACUGUGGAUUCUCAAGACUCUAAUGAUCCUAAAAGGUAUAAUCUGUUAAACGUCUCUGCGUUGAAACUGAAGAUUUGGACUUGAUUUCUCUGAAAAUGGUAGAAUACUGUGUAAUUUGAGCCUAAAAGAUGCCAAUGAACUUGUAAAAGGUUUAGAAGAUGAAGCUAGGCUAACCUGGAGAAUUCCACACAUGGUUCAAGGUUAAAUGCUCUUUGAUUACCACAUGAAGUGGACUGUUCUAUUUGGUGCUUGUAAGGGAGAUAUGAAGAGACUUGGUAGAGCAAUGGAGAAUCCACCAGAUCAUUCGUGGAGAACGGCCAGCGUCGCUUUGUAUGAACUAUCUGUAAAACAAGUUCAUAAAAAAAAUUGUAGAACAAGUUGACUAAAAUUCAAAGAAAAGCAAAGAAAAAACACUCCAUAUCUCAAAUUUCCUGGAUCUUCUCAUAGAGUAAGAGGAAAGGAAAAAACUGAAGUUCAAAGGAAAGAAACACCAUAUAAGUAAGGGAUCUGUUCAUGCCUUCUCUUGCUCUGGCCAAGCAUUUGAAUAUUGACAACAUGAUAUUUGGUUUGAAGGGGGCUCAA
Molecule: RNA transcript, 2829 nt
Organism: Tripterygium wilfordii
Lineage: Eukaryota; Viridiplantae; Streptophyta; Magnoliopsida; Celastrales; Celastraceae
Gene name: probable pre-mRNA-splicing factor ATP-dependent RNA helicase DEAH9
Exons: 26
Source: RefSeq, a predicted model, not a curated record